GAUGAACGCUGGCGGCGUGCUUAACACAUGCAAGUCGAACGGUGAAGGCGGAGCUUGCUCUGCUGGAUCAGAGGCGAACGGGUGAGUAACACAUGAGCAAUCUGACUCUGACUCUGGGAUAAGCGAUGGAAACGGCGUCUAAUACUGGAUACGAGCUGCGAAGGCAUCUUCAGCAGCUGGAAAGAAUUUCGGUAAGGGCUGAGCUCGCGGCCUUUCAGCUUGUUGGUGAGGUAAUGGAUCACCAAGGCGUCGACGGGUAGCCGGCCUGGGAGGGUGACCGGCCACACUGGGACUGAGACACGGCCCAGACUCCUACGGGAGGCAGCAGUGGGGAAUAGUGCACAAUGGGCGAAAGCCUGAUGCAGCAACGCCGCGUGAGGGACGACGGCCUUCGGGUUGUAAACCUCUUUUAGCAGGGAAGAAGCGAAAGUGACGGUACCUGCAGAAAAAGCACCGGCUAACUACGUG
RNAcentral lists this ribosomal RNA (468 nucleotides) under uncultured bacterium. RNAcentral's name for it is "partial 16S ribosomal RNA". It matches the Rfam family "Bacterial small subunit ribosomal RNA", at positions 28 to 507 of the family's 1533-position model. The record is from RNAcentral.